This 475-nucleotide ribosomal RNA is filed under the name uncultured bacterium. RNAcentral describes it as "bacterial SSU rRNA". It matches the Rfam family "Bacterial small subunit ribosomal RNA", at positions 8 to 526 of the family's 1533-position model. The record is from RNAcentral.
AGAGUUUGAUCAUGGCUCAGGAUGAACGCUGGCGGUAUGCUUAACACAUGCAAGUCGAACGGAAGCCUUCGGACUUUAGUGGCGGACGGGUGAGUAACGCGUGAGAAUCUGCCUUCAGGUUGGGGACAACAGUUGGAAACGACUGCUAAUACCCAAUGUGCCGAGUGGUGAAAGCUUUAGUGCCUGAAGAGGAGCUCGCGUCCGAUUAGCUAGUUGGAGUGGUAAUGGCACACCCAGGCGACGAUCGGUAGCUGGUCUGAGAGGAUGAUCAGCCACACUGGGACUGAGACACGGCCCAGACUCCUACGGGAGGCAGCAGUGGGGAAUGUUCCGCAAUGGGCGAAAGCCUGACGGAGCAAUACCGCGUGCGGGAGGAAGGCCCUUGGGUUGUAAACCGCUUUUCUCAGGGAAGAAGUACUGACGGUACCUGAGGAAUCAGCAUCGGCUAACUCCGUGCCAGCAGCCGCGGUAAUAC